Molecule: long non-coding RNA, 508 nt
Filed under: Vombatus ursinus (common wombat)
Lineage: Eukaryota; Metazoa; Chordata; Mammalia; Diprotodontia; Vombatidae
Description: lncRNA (ENSVURG00010000320.1)
Source: RNAcentral
AGGGUUUUGGCCAAGCCUGAACAGGCUGACCUGACUCCCCCUCCCCACCUCCGAACAAGGGAAGGAAGGAGGCGACGGUCUGGGGUGGCAGGGCAGACUGGGGCAGGGGCGAGAAGGCCCUGUUGAGGGUAGAGGACUCCGGAGUCCUGGCCUGGAAACAGCAGGCUCCGGGGAGCCCUGGCGGUGGCUGCAUCUGGGGACCAAGGAGGAAGAGGAGGCACCAGCUAAUGCUGCCAGGAGAAGCAGGGGCCGAUGCUGCGCCUGGAGGAAGGGAGGUUGCGGAUGGACGAAUCCCCGGAACCGGAGAGGGAAGAGAGGCUGCUGACUCUGCUGGGCCUGGUAGGCACAGCACUCAACCUGCUGGUCCUCGUCUGUGUCUACGUCUACACCACCCUCUGAGCUGACGUCACCAACUUGGGGCGGGGCCCGGGAAAACCCUCUAAGGUUUUCCUUAGAGUCUAUGGAGCUGGAGGCGGGGCCGGGGAGCAGGGAUGGGGCUUGGAAACAC